Molecule: ribosomal RNA, 674 nt
Filed under: uncultured bacterium
Lineage: Bacteria
Description: bacterial SSU rRNA
Rfam family: Bacterial small subunit ribosomal RNA
Source: RNAcentral
AGAUGGAGUGGUAACGGCACCCCAUGGCUACGAUAGAUAGGGGCCCUGAGAGGGGGAUCCCCCACACUGGUACUGAGACACGGUCCAGACUCCUACGGGGGGCAGCAGCUAAGAAUCUUCCGCAAUGGACGAAAGUCUGACGGAGCGACGCCGCGUGAACGAUGAAGGCCGUGAGGUUGUAAAGUUCUUUUCGAGAGGAGGAAUAAGGUUUGCAGGGAAUGGCAGACUGAUGACGUUAAUCUCGGAAUAAGCCCCGGCUAACUACGUGCCAGCAGCCGCGGUAACACGUAGGGGGCAAGCGUUGUUCGGAAUUAUUGGGCGUAAAGGGCGUGCAGGCGGCCUUGCAAGUCUGACGUGAAAGAUCUCGGCUUAACCGAGGGAACGCGUUGGAAACUGUAAGGCUUGAGUACGGAAGGGGAUAUUGGAAUUCCAGGUGUAGGGGUGAAAUCUGUAGAUAUCUGGAAGAACACCGGUGGCGAAGGCGAAUAUCUGGUCAUGUACUGACGCUGAGACGCGAAGGUGCGGGGAGCAAACAGGUUUAGAUACCCUGGUAGUCCGCACAGUAAACGAUGUACACUAGGUGUCAGGUCUUAAGACUUGGUACCGAAGCUAACGCAUUAAGUGUACCGCCUGGGGAGUAUGCUCGCAAGAGUGAAACUUAAAGGAAUUGACGG